This 72-nucleotide transfer RNA is filed under the name Marmota monax (woodchuck). Its description in RNAcentral is "tRNA.Ala". The record is from RNAcentral. Lineage: Eukaryota; Metazoa; Chordata; Mammalia; Rodentia; Sciuridae.
GGGGAUGUGGCUCAAGUGGUAGUGCCCUUGCCUGGCAUGCAUGCGGCCCGGAGUUCGAUCCUCAGCACCACA